GGUCGGUCUUCACCCGUGCGUGACCACCUCGACGAGAGGAGCUCGGAAACGCAAAGAAGCCGCCGGGAUUCUCAUCUAUCUGAAACCCUAGAUCUCCCUUUCCGGCUGUGAGUUCAAGGAUACAAGGAAUAAAGAAAAAGGAAAGCUAAUAUUUA
This is a long non-coding RNA of Zingiber officinale, 155 nucleotides long. RefSeq lists it as uncharacterized. The record is from RefSeq and is a predicted model, not a curated record. Lineage: Eukaryota; Viridiplantae; Streptophyta; Magnoliopsida; Zingiberales; Zingiberaceae. The transcript has 4 exons.